This is a long non-coding RNA of Bos indicus x Bos taurus (hybrid cattle), 984 nucleotides long. The record is from Ensembl. Lineage: Eukaryota; Metazoa; Chordata; Mammalia; Artiodactyla; Bovidae.
GCUCCAAUGAGCUAAAUAUGCUUCAAUUUAAUACAUGUUCCGUAAGUACUUCUUACUUUUUCUGUUUCAGACAGUCUGCAAAGAACCUGGGAUACAAACCGAUACAGACCCUGCCUUCAGGCUUCUCAAAGGAGAGAAAGACACAUACACAGAGCCGGAGACCUGAAAUGUGACGGCCUCAGCUAUGCCAGGAACAAGAGGAAACCACAGAGUUCAUAUUACAUGUAUUAGGCUUUUUUUCUUCCCAAGCAUCAGUUCUCAACAGGCUCAGGCAGACCUUGGAUGAUGGAAUAGCAUCCUCCGAAGAAGGCUGUCCCCUUCUGUGGCCUUGCCACACAAAGGACAGUAACACCAGCAGCGUAUAUUUCACUUGGCUGUGAUAUAGCACAAUUGCAUUUUGUCAGCAGGCUGGAAGUGGCCAGCCCAGAGCUGGGAGCUAUGGAGAACAUUCAUUUCUUCCACCACAGACAGCUCAGCCACAGACGUGGGUGAUAGAGAGGAAAUUGGCAUUGACCUUGAUGCUUUGCAAGGAGCGGAUGGGACUUCGAGUCUGGUUAGCAAAGAAAAAUGAACCAAGCAUCCUCAGUAGUGUCUGAAGAGCAAGAACUGGGCUCAACAGAAUUCUUCAGUCUCCCUGCUCACUGCUGUGGGUGUGCACGUGCAUGCAUGUUCUGCAUGCACGAAGACAUGCACACAGGCUGUGUCUGACAUGCAUGGGAGAGGCCUGGUGCCCUUGUUCAUGCUGGAACUCCCUGUGCAUAUUUGGCAUUUGACUGACAUGUGAAGCUCCCACAGACAUCAGAACAGUAGCUCAGAAUGCAUAAGAGAUAGUUUGCUGUUGAUAAGAAGACACUUGGAGAGGAAAAUGUUACUAAGACUACUUUCCAGUCCCUCCAGGAGUCCUUCAGAGAAAGGAAGUCCCUCUUAAGAAAGUCACCUGAGAGGUGAGGAAUAAAGCUAAUGCAGCCAAAUGUAUAACUUGCA